AGUGGCGAGCUUAACCAAAUAGGGGAGGCGUAGCGAAAGCGAGUCUUAAUAGGGCGCAUGAGUUAGAUGGAUCAGACCCGAAACCGAGUGAUCUAGGCAUGAUCAGGAUGAAGGUAAGGUAACACUUACUGGAGGUCCGAACCCACACCUGUUGAAAAAGGUCGGGAUGAAUUGUGCCUAGGGGUGAAAGGCCAAUCAAACUCGGAGAUAGCUGGUUCUCCGCGAAAUCUAUUUAGGUAGAGCGUCAUCCGAAUACCCCGGGGGGUAGAGCACUGGAUGGGUAAUGGGGCCCCACAGGCUUACUGAUCCUAACCAAACUCCGAAUACCCGGGAGUACUAGAUGGCAGACACACGGCGGAUGCUAACGUCCGUCGUGGAGAGGGAAACAACCCUGACCUCCAGCUAAGGCCCCUAAUUCAUGGCUAAGUGGGAAAGCAGGUGGGACGACCAAAACAACCAGGAGGUUGGCUUAGAAGCAGCCA
RNAcentral lists this ribosomal RNA (482 nucleotides) under Symbiodinium sp. Mp. Its description in RNAcentral is "partial Bacterial large subunit ribosomal RNA". It matches the Rfam family "Bacterial large subunit ribosomal RNA", at positions 636 to 1118 of the family's 2925-position model. The record is from RNAcentral. Lineage: Eukaryota; Dinophyceae; Suessiales; Symbiodiniaceae.